UACGUAGGGGCUAGCGUUAUCCGGAAUUACUGGGCGUAAAGGGUGCGUAGGUGGUUUCUUAAGUCAGAGGUGAAAGGCUACGGCUCAACCGUAGUAAGCCUUUGAAACUGGGAAACUUGAGUGCAGGAGAGGAGAGUGGAAUUCCUAGUGUAGCGGUGAAAUGCGUAGAUAUUAGGAGGAACACCAGUUGCGAAGGCGGCUCUCUGGACUGUAACUGACACUGAGGCACGAAAGCGUGGGGAGUAAACAGGAUUAGAUACCCUGGUAGUCCCUGAGCGGG
RNAcentral lists this ribosomal RNA (280 nucleotides) under uncultured prokaryote. RNAcentral's name for it is "partial 16S ribosomal RNA". It matches the Rfam family "Bacterial small subunit ribosomal RNA", at positions 524 to 803 of the family's 1533-position model. The record is from RNAcentral.